CGGGAUGUAGCUCAGCCUGGUAGAGCACUGUCUUCGGGAGGCAGGGGUCGUAGGUUCAAAUCCUGUCAUCCCGACCA
RNAcentral lists this transfer RNA (77 nucleotides) under Marinobacterium marinum. RNAcentral's name for it is "tRNA-Pro". It matches the Rfam family "tRNA". Rfam says of the family: Transfer RNA (tRNA) molecules are approximately 80 nucleotides in length. The record is from RNAcentral. Lineage: Bacteria; Pseudomonadati; Pseudomonadota; Gammaproteobacteria; Oceanospirillales; Oceanospirillaceae. RNAcentral also lists the same sequence under 1 other name.